UCAUCAUUCAAAGGGCCAUAGAAAGCAC
This 28-nucleotide small RNA is filed under the name Bombyx mori (domestic silkworm). RNAcentral's name for it is "ovarian small RNA-26044". Lineage: Eukaryota; Metazoa; Arthropoda; Insecta; Lepidoptera; Bombycidae. The record is from RNAcentral.